RNAcentral lists this long non-coding RNA (632 nucleotides) under Fukomys damarensis (Damara mole-rat). RNAcentral describes it as "lncRNA (ENSFDAG00000028736.1)". The record is from RNAcentral. Lineage: Eukaryota; Metazoa; Chordata; Mammalia; Rodentia; Bathyergidae.
CAGGCGUGGUGGUGCACACUAUAAUUCCAGAGCCUGGGAGGCUGAGCCAGGGGAAUUGUCUGAAGUUCAAGGCCAGCCUGGGCUACAGUGAGUUCAAGGUCGGCCUGAGCUAUACAGCAAGACCCUGUCUCAAAAAUUUUAAAAAAAGAAUUCAGUAGCUAAAGAGUUUGUCUUGCGGAAGCCAACGGAAAAGAACGUUUGCCGAAGGAGAAAGCAGACGCCAGGGUUCAGGAAGGUGAGUGAUGAUCUCAGCCAGGACUCCCAGUGGGAAGCCAGCAGGAGAAGCUGAAGAGAAAGUGAAGGGAAAAUGUGGCUGAGCGAGGCUGCGUUUGGCUGUGAGGAGGAAUGAGAUAAAGGCAGAGGCCAGAGGAGGCUAAUGAGCACUCCUGGGUGAAGCCGUGCUGGGGCCUCCCCCACCAUCCAGAUCUCCAGGCACCAGCUGGGUUCACUCCUGACCCAACCUGGAUGCAGCGCCCAACUCUCAGCACUCCUACACCCGAGGGUCCUCCUACAAACCUCCAUGGUACAGAUCCAUGAGCAAACUUGGCCGCCCCAUGCCAUCAUGAGACACAAACACAAAACGUACAAGGGUAAGCAAAACUUUUGGUGCAUAUUUAAGAAUUUAUCAGAGU